AACGAACGCUGGCGGCAUGCCUAACACAUGCAGGUCGAACGAGACCUUCGGGUCUAGUGGCGCACGGGUGCGUAACACGUGGGAAUCUGCCCUUUGCUUCGGAAUAACAGUUAGAAAUGACUGCUAAUACCGGAUGAUGUCGAAAGACCAAAGAUUUAUCGGCAAAGGAUGAGCCCGCGUAGGAUUAGGUAGUUGGUGGGGUAAAGGCCUACCAAGCCGACGAUCCUUAGCUGGUCUGAGAGGAUGAUCAGCCACACUGGGACUGAGACACGGCCCAGACUCCUACGGGAGGCAGCAGUGGGGAAUAUUGGACAAUGGGCGAAAGCCUGAACCAGCAAUGCCGCGUGAGUGAUGAAGGCCUUAGGGUUGUAAAGCUCUUUUACCAGGGAUGAUAAUGACAGUACCUGGAGAAUAAGCUCCGGCUAACUCCGUG
Molecule: ribosomal RNA, 433 nt
Filed under: uncultured bacterium
Lineage: Bacteria
Description: partial 16S ribosomal RNA
Rfam family: Bacterial small subunit ribosomal RNA
Source: RNAcentral